This 1955-nucleotide long non-coding RNA is filed under the name Homo sapiens (human). RNAcentral describes it as "PCBP1 antisense RNA 1, transcript variant 76 (PCBP1-AS1)". Lineage: Eukaryota; Metazoa; Chordata; Mammalia; Primates; Hominidae. The record is from RNAcentral.
GUCCCCGGCGUCCGGGCGCCCUGCAUGGAUCCCCCACCCCAGCUCCUGCUCCCCGGCGGCGGCCGGUGGGCAGAAAGACCGAAACCCACUCACGGCCGCCUGCCGAAUCGCGGCUCUGCUGUUUGUGGGGCGUGCUAGAAACGUGGUCCUAAAAAGAAUGGCGUCCAUUUACAUAAUGCUUUGUUUGCGUUUCGCAAGUUUCUUUCGGUUAAAGCCACAGAAACCCCACCUCCUGCCCUUGUGUCGUUUCCACCGCGGCACCCUUUUCCGACAUUAGAAACAAUAGUGUACGCCUGUGGAGGCCUCGUUUGUUCAGGGGCUGCCGGCCAGGGCUUCAGGACGUUUCUGCGGCUUUCCCCGCGCGGCCUGGGCUCCCGCGGCUGCUUUUCGGGCCCAUGGGCGCAGCCACUGCGCCAGGCUCAAGGGGGGCGGCCCCGUCAGGGCCCGCCAUCUUGGAAGGCCUUUUUUGCCGGUUCUUCCCGCUGAGGAAGUGUCGCUCAAGACGCUGGCCUAUGAGUUGUGAUUUCUGCCUUUUCCCCUUCCUCCUUGGGCUAAGCCAGACCAGAAAGGGCCCCGUGCGCAACGUGCUUCACAAUCUCUCAGGGAAAGCGGCUAACGUGGCGCUACUCCGCCUCCCCUGUUCCUUACCCUUGGGGCGGCCGCCAUGUUUCCUGAACACAAAAUGGCGACACGUGGUUAGCAUUCGUCGCCAACGAGAAAUUGGGGUCGGCCCGAAAGCUCUAGAAUGCACCCCUCUUCCUCCCCGGGGCCUUCCACCUCCGCGAGUUUUAUGACUUAAAAAAGCCCACAGGCUGGUCUGAAGGUCGGAGGCCUAAUUUUAACGCGUUUUCCUCCCUUUAAUUUGAAACGGGAACGCGAAUGACUGUAAAAUGUGGGCACAAUAUUUAAUCUCUCGCCUUUUUAAAGCUUAAUAGUGGAUAAUAGGGGGGCAGUAUCAAGGGAUAAUUUGGGUCCCCACAGUACCAAAGCAUUUAGAAACCUCUGUUUAAUUUAAGGAAUGAGAUAAGUUACUGCUUUUCUAGACUUCCUAGCAUGGGCUGUUGUGCUGGAGAGAACGAGAGCUACGAAGAGACUACAGUGCCUCUGACUUUUUCAUAGGACAGUUGGCCGGUGAAUCUUAUUAAUAGUUUACCACAAUUAAGUGUUCAUUUUUAGUCUAGAAGGGACAGGCGUUUAUUGUGCAUUGGCCAGUGCCAGCACAUCCGAUGCAAGGCAGUUCACCGUAUUCUAUCUUUAAUUUUUACCAUGGUCCUCUGAGGUAGGUGUUCUUAUCUCUCUCUCUCUCUCUCUCUUUUAAACAGAGGAAGACAAACAUAAAGAUGAAGUGCUUAAUUCAAGGUCACACAAUGUCGGGGAUGGACCUCCAGAUUUCCUUACUGACCUGCAUUAUCUUGUGGAUACCUGAGUGAAUUCCACACCACCCAUUUUAUAGAUGAAACCACUGAGACAUGGAGCAAUUGACUGAGUAGUCACUGCCCCACCCCUGCCUGGAGCCUCACACAUGACUCGCCUCCUCUCAGUGACCACAGGUUGGUUGAGGGGUUUAACAAGGCUAAGAAGGUGAGACGUGGUCUUGUAACACAGUGGUUAAGAAUGUGACUUUGGAGCCAGCCUGCUAGGGGCUGAAUUCUGACUCAGCCAUUUACUAACUGUGUGACCUUAGUCUGUCUAGUGACUGGUGUUGUCAUAAGAAGAGAGGGACACAGAGGGAAGAUGGCCACAUGAAGAUGGAGGCAGAGAUUGCAGUUAUGCUGCUGCAAACUAAGGAAUGGCUCUGGCCCUCCAAGGAUUGCUGAUAACCACCAGAAACUAGAAGAGACAAGGAAGGAUUCUUCCCUAGAGCCUUCAGAGGGAGCAUGGCCCUACUGACACCUGGAUUUCAAACUUGUAGCUUCCUAAACUGCAAGAGAAUAAAUUUCUGUUGUUUUAAGCCA